AAUAUUGCACAAUGUGCGAAAGCCUGAUGCAGCUACGCCGCGUGAGUGAUGAAGGCCNNNGGGUCNUCAAGCUCUUUCAUCAGNGAGNGUAAUGACAGUACCUGAAAAACAAGCCACUGCUAACUACGUGCCAGCAGCCGCGGUAAUACGUAGGUGGCGAGCGUUGUCCGGAAUUACUGGGCGUAAAGGAUGCGUAGGUGGAUACUUAAGUGGGAUGUGAAAUCCACGGGCUCAACCCGGGAACUGCAUUCCAAACUGGGUAUCUAGAGUGCAGGAGAGGAAAGCGGAAUUCCUAGUGUGGCGGUGAAAUGCGUAGAUAUGAGGAGGAACACCAGUGGCGAAGGCGGCUUUCUGGACUGUAACAGACACUGAGGCAUGAAAGCGUGGGUAGCAAACAGG
Molecule: ribosomal RNA, 399 nt
Filed under: uncultured bacterium
Lineage: Bacteria
Description: partial 16S ribosomal RNA
Rfam family: Bacterial small subunit ribosomal RNA
Source: RNAcentral